GAAAGUCGUGUGCAAUGAGAAUUGCAAGCACAGUUUGGGGAGAGAUUUCUGACUCUUACUAAUACUGAAGGAGCAGAUCAUUCACUCCAU
This is a non-coding RNA of Picea glauca (white spruce), 90 nucleotides long. Lineage: Eukaryota; Viridiplantae; Streptophyta; Pinopsida; Pinales; Pinaceae. The record is from Rfam.